This is a long non-coding RNA of Centrocercus urophasianus (Greater sage-grouse), 4629 nucleotides long. RefSeq lists it as uncharacterized. The record is from RefSeq and is a predicted model, not a curated record. The transcript is spliced from 7 exons. NCBI's taxonomy places the organism in Eukaryota, Metazoa, Chordata, Aves, Galliformes, Phasianidae.
CAUUCUGUGAUUCCAUGAUUAGUGAUUCUGUGCAUGGCUGUCCACCAGGCACUGCCCUCAUUCUUCAUUUUGAGUCUUCGAUUAAUCAAACAAAAGUGGCUUAGCUUUUCCUGGGUCUGUUUACUGAUGGUAUCACUUUCUUCUAGCAGCAGUAUCUCAGUUCCUGCUCCAGACUGUCCGCUAUGGCACACGCCUGAAGCUGGUGAACACUUUCUCUCAGCUCCCCCAGACAAAUGUCAGGAGCUGCAUGGUGGCUUCUGGACUCCUCAGAUACCUGCCCUCAUCAUGCAGGAAGGCAUUAACCUUUGGUUCCAAGUGAAAGCAACACAGGCUUGGAGAUGAGGCUGCCAAAGUGUGCAGCCUGCUUGCUCACAGCACUUCCAGCGGCACAUCUCUUCCACGGAGGCUCUUCCUUAAAGGAAGCACAUUUCACCUGCCCCAGAGCCAAUGUUAGAAGGAGGAAAUGGAUCACAAAGAAAUUCCUGAAGGGAGACGAAAACCCAAAUUGACAUUGUUCUACCUGUUGUGGACGUGCCCUAUUUCUUCCAUGGAGAACAUUAGCCUGAAGCAGCUCCGUGAAAUGAAAAGGCUCUGCAGGACUCAAGGUUUGGGGCAGAAAGGAGAAAAAUGAAUGUAGAUACAGUCACAGUUGGCUUUUGCAGGGGAAACCCCACAGCCUGAGGAUGCAAACCAAGCAGUGGGAAGAGGAAGGGAUGGAACAAAAAGACAGGUGAAAAGAAGUUAAUUUCCCUUAUACCACUGAUGGUCUUUUGCAACGUAAAUCCCAAGCAGUUCCUGCUAUGUCUCCCUUUCCCCAAGCUCCUUCUAAUGAUGUUGGAUCUGCAGUCUCCUCCAUCAGGUCCCAAGCUGUCAGUUUGUGACCUCUGAGAGAACAAACACACUUCUCUGUUGGAAAAGGUCUCCACGAUUCAGUCACUGUCCACAUGCCUGGUGUCCAGACCAAUCUCACUCAUCGGGAGCACACAGAUGUGAGAAUGUAACUGUAUGCUGCUUAUGAAGAAAAUUCUGUGAAAUUGAUUUUGUCACUAGGGCUGCUUUUUGACCAUUCUAGUGGUGCAACCUGACAAGCCAUAGCACCAAAAGUGGGGAAGGAAAAACUUUAUAAGCCUGCCUAACUCCAGGCUGAAGCUGCUGUGUGAAAAGGAAUCCAGUUGAACAAAGCUCAACAGAAGUCAUGCCAUGCCACAUUGCUGUGGGAGAACGUUCUCAUCCCUAUCUCUUAUGGGAUAUUUGAAAUCAUGAGAUUUGUGUGCAUGUUAAGUGCCUACUAUUUUCAGUAUCCUUUUUAAAAUGUAGUCUAUAAUGCUACUGGGAAAAAGAGAACACAUUUGAGAGAGAUUUCUCCUUACAUAUACAAUUUGAGGGUUUGGAACAGACCACCUGGGAGUUCAUAAACUCCUGAGGGACUUGUGAGAUCCAGUCUGCAUGUGAAAUUUCUAAAAUAUACUACAAAACUUUGGUUGCAAAUAUUCCAUGGUCAGCAGUCCCAAAUGGGGACUCAAACAACUGGGAGGAAGGAGCCAAUGAGGACUUCGUGAAAUUCAGCUAGAAUGAAUGCUGAGUCCUGCAUCUGUGAUGGAUGAACCCUAGAACUGAUAGAGGCUGGGGAGUAGCUUGGCAGGAAAGGCUUUGAACGCCUUGACUUAGGUGGUGGGCUCUUCUCAGCACACCUGAAAGAGGGACAAGAGACAGAGUAGCCUUGUCUGAGCUCACACCUAGCCUUGCUUUGAGCAACAAGCUGAACUCAGAAUGUCCUGAUGUCCCUUCCCACCUGAAUUAUCCUGCGAUCUUCUAAAGUGCUGCCUUUAGAAGUCUGAGGUUCCCAUUCCCCGUCUGCCUCCAUCUUGCUCUGAGAAGCUGCCUUAGCCUCCCUGAUUUUUCUCUCCUGUUUUGAACCAUGUUCUGUAAAGUGAUUCCUAUUCCAAACCAGUAGAGUCUUGUUAUGGUCAUGUUCUGAUUUAUUUUGCUGCACAAUGAUGAGCUACAGUGAAGCUAUGCAUUUCUAUGAGUAAAGGAGGAAGCUUAUGUGCUUUAUUACUCAUUACAGGCCUUUAAAAUAACCAGCCUUCUACUGUAAAUAUAUUAUUAUUUUUCCUAACAGCAAAGCUAAACUGCGAGUGUGCCACUAGAUGUCCCUUGUCACCCAAGUGAUGGUGGCACAUCCCCAGCGCUAUAUGAUGUAGCAUUGUAAAGAAAACAGUGUUUAAAGUAUUCAGUAUGGAGAGAUGUCGUGGCUGCCUCAGAAAGACUUGUGUUAUCCUCAGAAAGGUAUUGUCAUAGUUAGCAAGGAGAUAAUUACUUCUUUUAUCUCUUUUGCUUAAUUCUAAAGAGACCCCCUAGUAAGAAGGUGUUUGUUCUGACGGGGUAUUUUCACCAGGACCAACCCAAAUUUCCUGGUGAAAAAUGCUCACGCUAGGAAUUGCUGGGUUGCUGAGCCUAACACUGUGAUGUUCAACAACUUUUGCAACUCCAGUACAGGCCAGGGUAGCGUGAGAUGGGAUCUGGCAAUCUGUGUCAGUAGAUCUGCUGGAGAAGGGAUAGGUAGCUUCAGGAUUUUCUUGCACCUUUGUAUUGAUUCUGACCUUUGGGGCAAUUUUAUAUUGAAAUGGACCAGUGAAAGAAGCUGCUUCUGUGAAGAGGUGUUGGACAUUAAGCAUUAGUUUAAGGAAAGAAGAAUACGAACAGAGGGAAAAAAAUUGGUCUCAAUUUGCUUCAGACAGAAACCCAACAAAUGACAGUUAAAGCCCUUCAUCCUCUUUGUUGGCUGCUGAGAGCAGAUCAUCUGCUUCAUGUGAGCUGGGAGAGCUGAGCUGGCCAGUGAGGACGGAAGAAGAUGCAUGCCAGGCUCCUUGAGGAGGUCCUCAGGGCACCUCUCUCCUUCUGCCCCUCUACCCCACCAGAGCAGCCAAAGCCUGGAAGGAUCAUUGUGUCCCUACAAAGGGGGAAAGAGGCUGGUGAGUGAGGGAGCAGCCUCUGAGGCUUGCAGCAUGGAGCAGGGAGAACUAAGGAGCAGAUCUGCAGAGUUGGAGACAGUGCCCAAGGGGGCACAGGGAAUCCCCCCUACCCUGAUCCUACUCGGCAUCCUCAAACCUUUCCUUACACAUCCCAGCCCCGGCAAUAGGGCAGUUUUGGUCUCUCCUGCAGCACUUCAAGUGUUAAUUCCUCUGCAUGCCAUGUGGCCUUGUUUUCGCUGGAGUGGAAGCUGCGUUUCCAUAUGUCCCUAUCUCCCACAGCUGACAUCUCAGCGAGGACAUCUGUGCCACUCGGCAUGCCUGUGCCCUUGCACAGCUUCACCUGGGCUUGUGUGGAGUGAUUCCUCCUCGCCCUUGUCCCCCAUGGUGCUCUGUGCACCUACCAUUGCUUCAUGAGUAGGGGGAUGCGCCUGUCCCCAUGCUGCCUUAAAGCAUCUGAGCUGGGUUAUCAACCCCGGGUAAUAUUUUAUAGAAUCAUUAAGGCUGGAGAAGACCACUAAAUCACCUAUUGCAUCCGUAGUGUGGUUAAAAACUUGCUCUUAUCUGUUUCUCAGGAUGUGCCGCUGCAGUGUGUGAUUGCACAGACCACGCUGUUGUGUAUUCAGUCACAUACGCCUGCCUGAAUGACUGAAAUGAAGUAUUUGCUGCUUUCUACUUCAUUUAAAACUGCGGGAGCUGGUAGUGCUCAUCCUCCCCACAUACUGAGGUAUCCACACGUGCCACUCGCCAGCCUGGGGCUUCUUCCCCAAGCAAUGGCUGAGCAAAUCUCUUAAUAACAGAGCAACUACUCGCAGAUUAUUGUGAUCAUAAUUUGGCUGACAUAGCCUUUAUUACUAAUGGCAAUGCUGGAAAUGGAAAACCCAGCUUGAUGCUCAGCUCCCCGCUGGAAAGUAAUAAAAUAAAGAGGAACAAAAUCCUUGAAUGUAUUUGCUACCAAACCUUUGAAAAACACAAAAGUGGAACCCUGCCAAUGCUGUUGCUGGCAGUUUUUCAGACCAGAGCCUCUCUCCAAGGUAGGAUUAGAAGUGGAAAUGCAUUUGUAUCUAUGACAUUAGUAUCAUGUUGUUGUGUAUGAAUGGAAGGUUUGCAAUCAUUUGACAUCUAUUGGUUUCUAUUGCAAUUAUGGUACGCUCCUUUUUUUACCUUCAGCAUAUUUUUUACCAAUCUUCCAGUCAUGGAAUAAUUAGAAAACAGCUCCAGUUAUUGUAGAAACAAAAGCAAACAAACAAACAUGCAAACAAAAAAGUGUUUAUUUUGUCAACUCAAAGAAUGAUCAAAAGAAGAGUUUCAUUUAAAAUGUUCUUAUAAAAAUGGAGGGUGUGGCAGCUUUUCAGUGAGGUCUUUGUUGACAACGUGGGCUGAGGGAGGUUGGCUUUUACAUAAACUCUUUUGUCCAUCUCUGUGCAAUGGCAGAAUUUGCAGCUAGUUUCUGAUGGCAGAAAUUUCUUGUCUGUGGCAGCUGAGAAUGAUUUGAUAUCAUGUAGAAUAAUUAAAAAAAAAAGCAUCCCCAAACUACAGCUCAGGUUUUGAAUACCAGAAUGAGCCUUCAGUGCUAAGGAAUGAGCCUCCAGUGCUAAGUAUACAGAAAAAGCUAUUUAAUUUUUUUUUUUUUUUAAACAUAAAAAGAACCACUCGA